CACGGGGUGCUGCGCGUCAUCCUGGAGCCCCUCAUCGGGGACAUGCCCAUCGUGGGGGCCCUGACCAUGUUCUUCAUCCGCCGUCCCACUCUGGACAUUAACUGGACGGGGAUGACCAACCUCCUGGACAUCCCAGGGCUCAGCUCCCUGUCGGACUCAAUGAUCAUGGACUCCAUCGCGGCUUUCCUGGUGCUGCCCAACCGCCUGCUGGUGCCCCUGGUGCCCGACCUGCACGACGUGGCCCAGCUCCGCUCCCCGCUGC
Long non-coding RNA from Terrapene triunguis (Three-toed box turtle), 262 nucleotides. RefSeq lists it as uncharacterized. NCBI's taxonomy places the organism in Eukaryota, Metazoa, Chordata, Testudines, Emydidae. The transcript has 3 exons. The record is from RefSeq and is a predicted model, not a curated record.